This 519-nucleotide ribosomal RNA is filed under the name Pyricularia oryzae. RNAcentral's name for it is "eukaryotic LSU rRNA". The stretch from base 136 to 289 matches the Rfam family "5.8S ribosomal RNA". Lineage: Eukaryota; Fungi; Ascomycota; Sordariomycetes; Magnaporthales; Pyriculariaceae. The record is from RNAcentral.
AUCAUUACCGAGUUGAAAACUCCGUGAACCCAGCCGCUAUAACCUCUGUCGUUGCUUCGGCGGGCUCGCCCGCCGGAGGUUACAAACUCUUGUAUAUUUUUUUAGCAUCUCUGAGCCUAAAAGACAAAUAAUCAAAACUUUCAACAACGGAUCUCUUGGUUCUGGCAUCGAUGAAGAACGCAGCGAAAUGCGAUAAGUAAUGUGAAUUGCAGAAUUCAGUGAAUCAUCGAAUCUUUGAACGCACAUUGCGCCCGCCGGUAUUCCGGCGGGCAUGCCUGUUCGAGCGUCAUUUCAACCCUCAAGCCCCGGCUUGGUGUUGGGGCGCCCGGGUCCCCCGCGGCCUGGGGCCCCCAAGUUCAUCGGCGGGCUCGUCGGUACACUGAGCGCAGUAAAAACGCGGUAAAACGCGAACCCUCGCUCGGCCCGUCACCGGCGCGCACCAGCCGCUAAACCCCCAAAACUUUCAAAGGUUGACCUCGGAUCAGGUAGGAAUACCCGCUGAACUUAAGCAUAUCAAUA